This 673-nucleotide long non-coding RNA is filed under the name Homo sapiens (human). RNAcentral describes it as "HSALNT0044830". The record is from RNAcentral. Lineage: Eukaryota; Metazoa; Chordata; Mammalia; Primates; Hominidae.
CCCGCGCCCUUGCCCGGAGGAGUCGCCCACCCCGGGCGCAAGCGUCCAACCGGCCGCAGACACCCUGCGCGGCUUGCGGGGACCUUCGCCUCGACGCGUUCCACUCCCCGGGUUUUCCUGCUCUCCGGGAAGCCGCGAGGGCAACCUCGGGGGGCGGCCGUGGGGCUGGGAAAAGGAGGAAGGCGCGUGGAGCCGGCGGGGCGGCGUAGGGAGAUUCUGCGCGAAACUAAGCGUCAGAGGCCGCUUUCCUGGCCGUCCCAUUCCGGCCCGCCUGCAGCAGAGAAUGCCUUUCCUUCCCCGGACUGCAUAGCAGGGCUUCCCUCAAAGAACCAGAAUCAAAGGGCAGGAAGGGGGCGCAAAGAUCAGAGUCCAUCCCUCUUGAGAGGAGCAAACGGAGGCUUGCAAAGGUGAAGUCCCGCAGCGAGUUACAGACCUACCCGUAUCCCCAAACUGGGGCCUCCAAAUCCGUCCUGGAGACAGAAUGAGGAUGCUGCAGCCCCAGCAAACCCUUCACCAUCAUUCCUUCUCCCUCUGUACCCUCUCACCCCGCCCCCACGCGCGCGUCCCUUCCCCACCUAACCUCCAAAUGCCCCAGUGACAGGCUUACCAGGAAUACCGGUUAUCCCAGUUGUGUCCCUGGAUCUGUCCCUGUCCAGAUAAAGCCAUUCGGUGG